RNAcentral lists this long non-coding RNA (1032 nucleotides) under Malus domestica (apple). Its description in RNAcentral is "long non-coding RNA (MDOM_LNC002399)". Lineage: Eukaryota; Viridiplantae; Streptophyta; Magnoliopsida; Rosales; Rosaceae. The record is from RNAcentral.
UCAAAACAUGGGUACAUUCUUCAAAAUCACAAAAAGAAGAAGAUAUUAGGCUUAAUAACAUUAGUAAAUUUCUUCGAUUAAACUUGACAUGGAUACAUUUUAAAAUCAAAGCAAAAAGAAUGUACCCAUAUAAGUUUAAAACAGAUUAGAAAAAUUGAAUAGAUUUUAUAUAAAAAAAGGUACAUUUUACAUAUAACAAAUUGGUAUAUUUAAGAAUGAGUACAUUUUAAGAUCAAAAUUUUGAAAAAAGUACAUGAAUGGGUACAUAUAAUUAGCAUGGGUACAUUUGGCAAAAUAAAAAAUGGGAACAAAUAAGUUUAAAAAAAAAACAUGGGUACAAAUAAAAUAAAACUUUAAAAAAUAUGGGCACAAAAAGAAAUUAAUAUAUGGGUACAAAUUAAAACUGAAAAGAAAAUUGGUACAAAUUAAAAAAGGGUUGCAAAUUAAAAUGGGUACAAACUAAAACUAAAAAUAUAUGAUAAAAAAUUUAGUCAUAAAUAUAAAUAUACUAAUUGUAACAUUUUAAACAUUAAAUGAAUAUAUUUAGAAAUAAAAAAUAUUUUAUUAUUGAAAUAAUUAAUGAUGUUAUUAAUACCCAAGGACCUUGAUCAAAAAUUAAAAAGGAAUAGGAUUUUAAUCAAUGGAGUAGCAAAAGGAAGGAUGAGAACCUAAUUUCUCAUUUUUUUUCUUUCUAAUUCUUAUUAGUGUUGUAAGCAUAAUUACUGAACAAUUAUGGAGGCCAGAAAGAGAGAGAGGGUGCGGCAUAGAGAGAGAAGAGAGAGAUGUGUAAUUGUGGGUAUGUUCUAUUCCACCUUAUUGUGCUUUUAUUUAUAGUAGUAGGGAAGAUUAAUUCCUUACCCUUUAGGAUUACAACAUUUAAUAGGUAAUCUACUCCUAAUAGGAAUAUAAGAGAUAUUCCAAGAUAUACUAAGAUUUACACAAUCACAUCCUUAAUCUAAUAGGACUGCAAUACUCCCUCUUGAGUGUGUAAAUACUCAAGUAAAUGGCGCAUCAGGUCUUCAGUGAUGAAGU